GACGAACGCUGGCGGCGUGCUUAACACAUGCAAGUCGAACGGAAAGGCCCUGCUUUUGUGUGGUGCUCGAGUGGCGAACGGGUGAGUAACACGUGAGUAACCUGCCCUUGACUUUGGGAUAACUUCAGGAAACUGGGGCUAAUACCGGAUAGGAGCUCCUGCUGCAUGGUGGGGGUUGGAAAGUUUCGGCGGUUGGUGAUGGACUCGCGGCUUAUCAGCUUGUUGGUGGGGUAGUGGCUUACCAAGGCUUUGACGGGUAGCCGGCCUGAGAGGGUGACCGGCCACACUGGGACUGAGGUAGGGCCCAGCCUCCUACGGGAGGCAACAGUGGGGAAUAUUGUACAAUGGGCGGAAGCCUGAUGCAGCAACGCCGCGUGCGGGAUGACGGCCUUCGGGUUGUAAACCGAUUUCGCCUGUGACGAAGCGUGAGUGACGGUAAUGGGUAAAGAAGCACCGGCUAACUACGUG
RNAcentral lists this ribosomal RNA (468 nucleotides) under uncultured bacterium. RNAcentral's name for it is "partial 16S ribosomal RNA". It matches the Rfam family "Bacterial small subunit ribosomal RNA", at positions 28 to 507 of the family's 1533-position model. The record is from RNAcentral.